UGUUGUGUAUCUAACUGAAACGAUAUAUGUUCGUGAUUGGAAGAGACUUGGUGGGUAAGUAAUGUGUGACAUGAUUGACAGAUGUGUCACGCGAGCGAUCUCGAAAACAUAUUUGAUACAGCGAUGUAAAUGAGUGAUGUUAAUUAUAAUUCAGUGGAUAAAGCAUAAAGAAACAAAGUAGACGUUAUAAUAUCAGCACGUCUCCUAAUAUGCAGGUUUGACUAUUAGACUAGGUUAUGUUGUAUGUGAGAUGUGAGUUUUGUCGACAGGCCAGCUUGAGAAAAAAAACUUGAAAUGUAGUGUGAAGUAUUUAUGUUUUUGUUAAAUGUAUUUGUAUAAAUAACAUUAUAUCAACAUUUUUCACAGUUUUGUGUUGAAGAAGAAUUGCCGAAACGUGAUUUGAGAUGCCUCGGACGAAGCACUCUCAGCGCUGCCAGGCAGCAAAGAAGAGAAUGGCAGACCGGAGAACAGAGGGUCUGCCGCCUCUUAAAAAACCGGCAGAAAUAUCUGAACAUUGUGUCCAUCACGAUGUGCAUAAAAAAACUGAUCUUGACAAUUUCCUGAAAGCAACUGAUCUUGAGAAUUUUCUGAAAGAAACUGAUCUUGACAAUUUCCUGAAAAAGCCUGAUCUUGACAAUUUUCUGAAAGAAACUGAUCUUGACAAUUUCCUGAAAGAAACUGAUCUUGACAAUUUCCUGAAAAAGCCUGAUCUUGACAAUUUUUGCAAAGAACCUACCAUUGACAAUUUUCGCAAAGAACCUGCCAUUGACAAUUUACCUGAAAAUGAUCUUGAAAAGCCUUUGAAAAGUCUGAAAAACAAGAAAGCAUUCUCUGAAACUCUACCUCAUAAUCUUCCUCUAUGCCUCAGUCUUCCUCUCUGCGUCUCUCUACUACUAAUGAUACUAAGAUGACUGUGAAUGAUGUUUAUGCUCUAUCUCCACAGACUUCUUACAUCAGUGGCUCUUUCCAUCAAGGAGAUUACCGUUUUGGCCGGAAUAGGGGAAGUCAAUGUGGUGCAAACUGUUUAAUUGCAAUUUUGAUGAGUAAGAUGAAAAAUGUGUUGCAGUGGACGAGAAGUGACCUGAAUGCUGUUCUGAUCCAUGGAGAUGACCUGUACAGUGCCAUGAGAGACGCAGGGAAAAUCAACGAUCCUGAAUCCGGCUUCAUAGCUGUUCAUGAGCUACCAGACACACACACACUUAAAGAUAGUCGGUUUUCAAUAAACUAUGGUGAAACAUUGA
Molecule: long non-coding RNA, 1241 nt
Organism: Carassius gibelio (silver crucian carp)
Lineage: Eukaryota; Metazoa; Chordata; Actinopteri; Cypriniformes; Cyprinidae
Exons: 2
Source: RefSeq, a predicted model, not a curated record